GUUAAAGUGGCUGAGUUUUAAGCAAUGGUUUGUAAAUCCAUAAACGGAAAUCUCCUUCCCUUUAAUA
Molecule: transfer RNA, 67 nt
Filed under: Laeonereis culveri
Lineage: Eukaryota; Metazoa; Annelida; Polychaeta; Phyllodocida; Nereididae
Description: tRNA-Tyr
Rfam family: tRNA
About the family: Transfer RNA (tRNA) molecules are approximately 80 nucleotides in length. Their secondary structure includes four short double-helical elements and three loops (D, anti-codon, and T loops).
Source: RNAcentral